This is a long non-coding RNA of Populus euphratica (Euphrates poplar), 183 nucleotides long. RefSeq lists it as uncharacterized. NCBI's taxonomy places the organism in Eukaryota, Viridiplantae, Streptophyta, Magnoliopsida, Malpighiales, Salicaceae. The record is from RefSeq and is a predicted model, not a curated record. The transcript has 2 exons.
AAAAGUUUUUUUUUUGUUUGGUUCCGGUAUCGAUCCAGGAUUCAAUAUCGACUUUCUUUCUAAGACCAAAAUGGAGAAUUCUCCAAUCCAAAUAUUUUCUAUGCGAGCUUUUUUCCAUAUCGAUAAUAUCAUCUUCUGCUAGAUGCUUAUUGACAGGGAUACCUCCCGACAUAUCAAAUAAUU